This 221-nucleotide ribosomal RNA is filed under the name Limosilactobacillus reuteri. Its description in RNAcentral is "Lactobacillus reuteri Small Subunit Ribosomal RNA; ssuRNA; SSU rRNA". It matches the Rfam family "Bacterial small subunit ribosomal RNA", at positions 8 to 198 of the family's 1533-position model. The record is from RNAcentral. Lineage: Bacteria; Bacillati; Bacillota; Bacilli; Lactobacillales; Lactobacillaceae.
AGAGUUUGAUCCUGGCUCAGGAUGAACGCCGGCGGUGUGCCUAAUACAUGCAAGUCGUACGCACUGGCCCAACUGAUUGAUGGUGCUUGCACCUGAUUGACGAUGGAUCACCAGUGAGUGGCGGACGGGUGAGUAACACGUAGGUAACCUGCCCCGGAGCGGGGGAUAACAUUUGGAAACAGAUGCUAAUACCGCAUAACAACAAAAGCCACAUGGCUUUU